Molecule: ribosomal RNA, 275 nt
Filed under: uncultured bacterium
Lineage: Bacteria
Description: partial 16S ribosomal RNA
Rfam family: Bacterial small subunit ribosomal RNA
Source: RNAcentral
CCUACGGGUGGCUGCAGUCGAGAAUCUUUGUCAAUGGACGAAAGUCUGAACAAGCGACGCCGCGUGCGGGAUGAAGGCCUUCGGGUUGUAAACCGCUGUCGUAGGGGAACAAAUGUACGGGGGUACUCCCCUGUAUUUGAGUGAUCCUAGGAGGAAGGAGAGGCUAAGCUCGUGCCAGCAGCCGCGGUAAGACGAGCUCUCCAAACGUUAUUCGGUAUCACUGGGCUUAAAGAGUUCGUAGGCGGCCUUACAGGUCAGGUGUGAAAUCCCACAGC